CUGGCUCAGGACGAACGCUGGCGGCGUGCCUAAUACAUGCAAGUCGAGCGGACAGAUGGGAGCUUGCUCCCUGAUGUUAGCGGCGGACGGGUGAGUA
RNAcentral lists this ribosomal RNA (97 nucleotides) under Bacillus subtilis J23. RNAcentral describes it as "partial 16S ribosomal RNA". It matches the Rfam family "Bacterial small subunit ribosomal RNA", at positions 19 to 112 of the family's 1533-position model. The record is from RNAcentral. Lineage: Bacteria; Bacillati; Bacillota; Bacilli; Caryophanales; Bacillaceae.